UCCGGAGUCGUCCAACGGCCAGGACAUGCGGCUUUGACCCGCAGAACGAAGGUUCGAAUCCUUCCUCCGGAG
RNAcentral lists this transfer RNA (72 nucleotides) under Myxococcales bacterium. Its description in RNAcentral is "tRNA-Gln". It matches the Rfam family "tRNA". Rfam says of the family: Transfer RNA (tRNA) molecules are approximately 80 nucleotides in length. Lineage: Bacteria; Pseudomonadati; Myxococcota; Myxococcia; Myxococcales. The record is from RNAcentral.